This 255-nucleotide ribosomal RNA is filed under the name uncultured bacterium. Its description in RNAcentral is "partial 16S ribosomal RNA". It matches the Rfam family "Bacterial small subunit ribosomal RNA", at positions 524 to 776 of the family's 1533-position model. The record is from RNAcentral.
UACGUAGGGUGCAAGCGUUGUCCGGAAUUAUUGGGCGUAAAGAGCUCGUAGGCGGUUUGUUGCGUCGGCUGUGAAAUCCCGAGGCUCAACCUCGGGUCUGCAGUCGAUACGAGCAAACUAGAGUGUUGCAGGGGAGACUGGAAUUCCUGGUGUAGCGGUGAAAUGACGCAGAUAUCAGGAGGAACACCGGUGGCGAAGGCGGGUCUCUGGGCAACAACUGACGCUGGAGGAGCGAAAGCGUGGGGAGCGAACAGG